This is a non-coding RNA of Arachis ipaensis, 2441 nucleotides long. The record is from RefSeq and is a predicted model, not a curated record. Lineage: Eukaryota; Viridiplantae; Streptophyta; Magnoliopsida; Fabales; Fabaceae.
UUCGUGAGAACCUAAUGUGCAGAGUUAAGAGACAAUUUUUUUUUUUAAAAAAGAUCCAAAGCGUUGCCAUGGCUAAUGUUGCGAAUGGUGCAACCUAGGGAGCUGAUCAAGUGGUACCACGAAACAACAUAACCAUCUUUACGAGCAUUCUUUGCGAGCCUCAAGUGUACCCAAUGAGGAAUUUCAUCGUGCAGGGAUAUGGCAAGUCAGUCAACACAAAACCUCACAAGUAUAAAUUAAGUUUCUAUGUGAAGACAUCUGUUUCUAUCCUUUCCCAUGAACAUUUCCAUUCACUCCAUUCCGAUUUGCAAAGUACCAAGAUAUAGAAGCAAUAGCUAUGCUGAAUCAAAAUUAUCUAAUUGGUAAGUGUCGACAGAAGUAACAUUUAUGCAAAUUGUUCCUGUAUUUGUUUUCUAAAGUUCUCUUAUUCUUCUAUCUUUUAUUAGAAUGCAUCGGUCAUGUGGUAGUGAAAGAAGAAUCCAAAGACUUGGUAACCAAAACCAGGCAAAAGACUAAACGGAUGGUGGUUUAUUUGGAGGAUUUAGAGUUCGUAUAUUUGACACUUUUUUUAAUGAAAUAAUGAACUUGGUUGUGUUAUACUUAGUAAAUGGUCCAGUGGCUAGUGUUUGUGCUUAUUCAGGUUAUGUUGUGUAUUUGUUUACGCGAAAUAAGAUGAAGUGUACAUUGUUUGAAAAUUUUGUUGAUAAAGAUAUUGCAUUUCUAGCUAGGGCAGAUUGCGAGCCAGUGGUCCUGGUGGCCUAGCUUUUCAAACCAAAUUUGUACUUGAAUGAUGUUAACAUCUAGAGUAGCUUUGAUCUUUCUCGACUAUAUUGCAAUGCUAAUUUUUCUGAGGUUGUUAGUUUCCAAAAUAGGUAUGAUAAGGUGGCAUACGGUUAUGUCAAAGUGUACAGUCGUUUCCCUUCCAAGUGGGCAUGUUAUCAUAGGAUUAUCGUUAUAAGUAACAAGAUGUUUUGAAUUCUUUUUUGUUAUCAAGUUUAAUGUUGCAAGUGGAUCUAGCCUCACAAAAAAUUAAUGUUUUUGACAGUCAAUCGCAACCAUCUGUUAGUGAUGAGAUAUCAUGGGGUACCAUUUCAGUAAAGACCAAAGAAGAGGUCCUAAACCUGGAGCAAGUUAGUCCCACAUUGGUCUUAUCCGUUUUGGCUUUCUCUUAGUUUCAUGGAUUUAAUAAUUGUGUGAUAAUUUUAUUUAUUAGGAAACUUCUUGCUAAGUAGUUGGUGUGAUAGUUCCUCAGAGGUGGGUCUUAAGGACUGGUUCUAUGUUUUGUGCAACACCUGUCCUAGGAAAGUGCAAUCGAGCAAGGACAAAUAUUGGUGUGAACAUUGUAAGAAAGUGGAGUUUAAUGGUGCUUUCAAAUAUAUAUCGCCUCAAUUUGAUCCUAACCGAUGGAACUGGCUGUAUUAAGGUCAUACUGUGGAACUCAAAAGCGAAGGCUAUAGUUGGAAAAACAACAAGUAAAAUAAAAGAAGCCAGUGUAAGUGUUUGGAAUGGAUAAUAUAAGUGUGUAUCCUGCUGUGGUCAUGAAAAUUUUCUCAUCGACUUAAGUUAGUAUUCUUGAUUUAGAGGAAACAAAUCAGGGCAGUUGCUAUGCGAAGGCUCUUAACGCCAUCAUUGAAAAUAAGUUUUUAUUUAAGCUAUCUGUGACCUCCAGAAAUAUUAGAUCUGUUGAUCAAGCCUACAACGUUGUUAAGCUUAGGGAUGAUGAGUCUUUAAUAGACCUCUAUGGGAUGCAAUCUUUGUCUAUUGACAAUGGGGUAUGCUAUCAUCAUUUUACUCAAUUUAUUUGUCAAUGACUAGUUUCUUUGGAUGUUGCCUGCAAUCUUUUGGAUGAUGACUCUUUUCAAGAGGGGAGCAGAGUGUAUCCACUCUUUUAGGUGGAAGUUGCAAUCUUGAGACUUACUCUGAAAGGAAUGUUUUAGGCAAUGUGUCUCUAUCGAAGGUUAGUAUUAUUCAAGACAUUCAAAAUUGUUAAAUUUAGUGAACAUUUUUGGUAAGGUAUUUUCUAAAUAAAAAGCAUAUUCGUCAAUUAACCCAAGACUCUACAACUGAGAGCUUUUGCAAAACUGGCAAUGCAACUCCGACCAAACCUACUGGACCUGCGGUUGUCGGAAAUUCAGCCAUUGUUGGGGUGGGUAGCCCAGAAGGGCAAGGUUCAAGCAAAAAAAUAUUUAGGAAAGGUUCUGGGAAGUGGAAGAUGGAGUGAAGAUGUUAUUGGCCAUUGAUGUAAUAAUUUAAGUCGAAAUUGGUGCAUCAAAAGUAGUGUUAUUAUAUGCCAUAUUGUUCUAGGUUCGUUAUGUAGUUUGAAGUUUCUUUAGAUGAACUCAAUGUGUAGUGUUCCGUGGUCCAGAUCAUCUUCACAAAAGGAACAAAUAUGUGUGGGAUAUGUAUAUAUGAAAUGGAAACUUUGUUUGGACUUAAAAGAG